This 539-nucleotide ribosomal RNA is filed under the name uncultured bacterium. RNAcentral's name for it is "bacterial SSU rRNA". It matches the Rfam family "Bacterial small subunit ribosomal RNA", at positions 356 to 896 of the family's 1533-position model. The record is from RNAcentral.
GAGGAAUAUUGGUCAAUGGGCGCGAGCCUGAACCAGCCAAGUAGCGUGCAGGAUGACGGCCCUAUGGGUUGUAAACUGCUUUUGUAUGGGGAUAAAGUUAGGGACGUGUCCCUAUUUGCAGGUACCAUACGAAUAAGGACCGGCUAAUUCCGUGCCAGCAGCCGCGGUAAUACGGAAGGUCCAGGCGUUAUCCGGAUUUAUUGGGUUUAAAGGGAGCGUAGGCUGGAGAUUAAGUGUGUUGUGAAAUGUAGACGCUCAACGUCUGAAUUGCAGCGCAUACUGGUUUCCUUGAGUACGCACAACGUUGGCGGAAUUCGUCGUGUAGCGGUGAAAUGCUUAGAUAUGACGAAGAACUCCGAUUGCGAAGGCAGCUGACGGGAGCGCAACUGACGCUUAAGCUCGAAGGUGCGGGUAUCAAACAGGAUUAGAUACCCUGGUAGUCCGCACAGUAAACGAUGGAUGCCCGCUGUUGGUACCUGGUAUCAGCGGCUAAGCGAAAGCAUUAAGCAUCCCACCUGGGGAGUACGCCGGCAACGGUG